GUCUUACACGAAAAAUAUUUCAAUUAUUAUAUUCAUUACAAUCGCCUUUUACAAUCUAUAAUACCGACCCUUAUAACAAUCAUGAGAUUCCCUAAUCUAAUUUAUUAUGAUACCACAAUAUUGCCAUAAGCAAAACUUAUACUUUUCAUGUGUUUUAGUUAAUGGCCAAAAAGUAUUAGGAUUAGCUUAUACUUUGCAUAAGAUUGCAGUUUUGAAAAUAUUUCCCGCCAAGAGACAGCAUCGUAAACAAGACGAGUGAAUUGAAAACGCAAACUUUUUCCCAGAAACAUCCUUAUAAACUAACUUUAUCAGUUCCAGAUCCCCAUCGAAAUCGGGCUCCCGGUCCGAGUAAGGUUCGAGAAGUCGCUGCCGUUUACGUUUUUCAGUCCAGACACAGCAGAUGCCGCAGUAGCAGCUCAAGAAAACCGCUGCAGCCGAUCCGGUUCCUGGUCAAAAUCUAGCAAUCUCUAAGGAUCGUUAGUUGUUGCGAUUUGGAGGAGCAAGUGGACAGCAUCGAAAGACCCAUGAAAACCGAUCGCCAAGGAUAAAACCUGAAGUGGAAUGCGUUCGAGGAAAAGAAUCCGCAAGCACCAGGAGGCGGUUGCGACUUCUAAACGAUCUCAUGUUGGCGCACAAAACCGGAACUCGUCUCAAAUGAAAUCCCGAGCGGAGCGACAUCGACUCGAUCAAGGAUAACGUCGCUGGUAGCUCGGCUGGGUCAACAAUGAGUCGUUGGAAUAGGUACCGUACCUAAAGCCUGCCGUAACCAAAUACAUUCGCUGAAUCUCGAUCCGAAGAGUUAUCUCGAUGUUAUUCAAUUCAGUGGUUUAAAUGAUGAAUAAAUUAAUUACAAAAAUAUAUGUGUUUGUUCUUGAUUAUACUAACUGAAGGAAGAAAAAGAAGGAGGGACAUUCAAAACCUAAAUAUGUAAUAGGUUUUAUUAGUUGCAACACAUUCAUAAUAUUAAAACUCUAAUAACAAUCAUUAGCGGUACUGAUUGUCUGUAUUAGGUUUACCUUAUACUUUUUAUUUCUGGUAUCUUAUAUAAUUCAUUACAUUCAUUCAUAUGGUUCAUUAGGUAAACGAAAUGGCAAAAAUUUAUAACAUUUUCUUAUAAAUUCUAUAAUGAUUUUUCUUUUCGUGUACACCUACAAACCACCGAAAACUAACACAAUGCUCCAAAUGAAAACGAAGCUGCAAAUCCUGUCAUCUCCAUCCACUAUCCACAUGCAAAUUAUAAUAGUGGGCCAAAUAAUUGCCAACAUCUCCUAUCCAGAGAACAUCCAGCGACCACUCGGUGACCGACCGCUACCAAAGUCACGCCAUGAAACCAAUGCCUAAAUUCGGUAUGAAAAAAAAAUAUAAAGAAAACCGUUCACCAGCCCAUCAAGCAGCAAAUGACAAAUAAACUAUCAUAGCAGGACGGAACCGCAACCCGUUACUGUCUUAUCGACCAGACCAGCUCCGUCAAUCAACAAACAAAUCCAAACAAAACUAAAAUCACCCGUACUGCACCGACUGCACCAGCCCCACACGCCGCCGGCUCAUACCUGCAGCUACGGAAGCCAAACACUGGAUGGAGUCCACAACACAAACGGACACCCUGUCCCGCUUUCAGUCGCCGCCACUUCUCCUU
This is a long non-coding RNA of Aedes albopictus (Asian tiger mosquito), 1636 nucleotides long. RefSeq lists it as uncharacterized. The transcript is spliced from 3 exons. Lineage: Eukaryota; Metazoa; Arthropoda; Insecta; Diptera; Culicidae. The record is from RefSeq and is a predicted model, not a curated record.